UACAGAGGAUGCAAGCGUUAUCCGGAAUGAUUGGGCGUAAAGCGUCUGUAGGUGGCUUUUUAAGUCCGCCGUCAAAUCCCAGGGCUCAACUCUGGACAGGCGGUGGAAACUACCAAGCUGGAGUACGGUAGGGGCAGAGGGAAUUUCCGGUGGAGCGGUGAAAUGCGUAGAUAUCGUCUGGAACGCCGAAGGUGAAAACAGCUCGCUGGGGUUGUGCUGACGCUGAGACACGAAAGCCAGGGGAGCAAACGGG
This 253-nucleotide ribosomal RNA is filed under the name uncultured bacterium. Its description in RNAcentral is "partial 16S ribosomal RNA". It matches the Rfam family "Bacterial small subunit ribosomal RNA", at positions 524 to 776 of the family's 1533-position model. The record is from RNAcentral.